AAGGAUUUAAGUUAAAUAAACUAUCAGCCUUCAAAGCCGAAAUUAGAAACCUUUCUAAGCCUUA
Molecule: transfer RNA, 64 nt
Filed under: Cryptocephalus mystacatus
Lineage: Eukaryota; Metazoa; Arthropoda; Insecta; Coleoptera; Chrysomelidae
Description: tRNA-Trp
Source: RNAcentral